RNAcentral lists this long non-coding RNA (755 nucleotides) under Anas platyrhynchos platyrhynchos (common mallard). RNAcentral's name for it is "lncRNA (ENSAPLG00000018798.1)". Lineage: Eukaryota; Metazoa; Chordata; Aves; Anseriformes; Anatidae. The record is from RNAcentral.
AUGCCCCUCUGCUUCCUGAUGGCCGAGGUGUGGUGCAGACACAGCCUUGCUCCUAACGCUGGGGACAAGCAGCCGGGCCAGGCUUGGCUUCAGGCAAUGCUGUUGCACCAGGAGCCUUUCCCAGGACAAACAGCCCGAGUGGUGACUGCUGGGGACACCUGCAGCUCUGGGCACCCUGUGCCAAGCAGGAAGCAGAGCAGACAUGGAGCCAGGCGGGGAGAGAGCAUGGAAAGGAGGGUAAAAAUGCCCGUGGAUGCGUGGCGUGCUGCCAGCCAGCCUGACAUUCGCUGCAGGGUUUUCCAGACUGGUAGAGGCUUGAAGUGAGGAGGGGAUGUGUGUGUCCCCUGGAGGUGCUGAUUCAGCAGAGAAAAAGAAAACACCCCCCAUUUUGCUGAGCCCCAGCAGGGUGAACAGAGGGAAAAGGUGCUCCAGGGCAGGAAGAAACUGUGAAGAAAUAGGUUUGCAAACUCCAUUUAUACUGGAUUGUUUGAAAAUUGUCCUGUGAGCUGCCUUCUGGGGACAGCUGUCCCGCUCUGAAGGAGGGAGAGCAGAGAUGUGUGUGGGGAGAAGCUGCGUGUGGGGCUCUCAGGGCUGGGCCAGGACUCAGGUUGCAAUCGCCUCUGGUUGCUCUCGGGCAUGGGGAGGGCAGGGAGAGGCUGGGCAUGUGGAAGAAAGACUCCAUGAAACUCUUCUUCCCUGUAGGAGCUACAUCUCCCUCUAAAAAAAAAAAUAAAAAUCUCAGUUGACCAGAACCA